This 355-nucleotide ribosomal RNA is filed under the name uncultured bacterium. RNAcentral's name for it is "partial 16S ribosomal RNA". It matches the Rfam family "Bacterial small subunit ribosomal RNA", at positions 338 to 690 of the family's 1533-position model. The record is from RNAcentral.
CCUACGGGUGGCAGCAGUGAGGAAUAUUGGUCAAUGGACGGAAGUCUGAACCAGCCAUGCCGCGUGCAGGAAGACGGCUCUAUGAGUUGUAAACUGCGUUUGUACAAGGGUAAACCGGAAUACGUGUAUGCAGCUGAAAGUACGGUACGAAUAAGGAUCGGCUAACUCCGGGCCAGCAGCCGCGGUAAUACGGAGGAUCCAAGCGUUAUCCGGAUUUAUUGGGUUUAAAGGGUGCGUCGGAGGAUUGAUAAGUUAGAGGUGAAAUGUCCUCGCUGAACGCGGGAACUGCCUCUCAUACUGUUGAUCUAGCGCGUAGCUGCGGUCGGCGGAAUGUAUGGUGUAGCGGUGAAAUGCU